GGGAAUCUUCGGCAAUGGGGGCAACCCUGACCGAGCAACGCCGCGUGAGUGAAGAAGGUUUUCGGAUCGUAAAACCCUGUUGUUAGAGAAGAAAGUGCGUGAGAGUAACUGUUCACGUUUCGACGGUAUCUAACCAGAAAGCCACGGCUAACUACGUGCCAGCAGCCGCGGUAAUACGUAGGUGGCAAGCGUUAUCCGGAUUUAUUGGGCGUAAAGGGAACGCAGGCGGUCUUUUAAGUCUGAUGUGAAAGCCUUCGGCUUAACCGGAGUAGUGCAUUGGAAACUGGGAGACUUGAGUGCAGAAGAGGAGAGUGGAAUUCCAUGUGUAGCGGUGAAAUGCGUAGAUAUAUGGAGGAACACCAGUGGCGAAGGCGGCUCUCUGGUCUGUAACUGACGCUGAGGUUCGAAAGCGUGGGGAGCA
This 421-nucleotide ribosomal RNA is filed under the name uncultured bacterium. RNAcentral's name for it is "bacterial SSU rRNA". It matches the Rfam family "Bacterial small subunit ribosomal RNA", at positions 357 to 770 of the family's 1533-position model. The record is from RNAcentral.